RNAcentral lists this ribosomal RNA (164 nucleotides) under Cardamine x insueta. Its description in RNAcentral is "5.8S ribosomal RNA". It matches the Rfam family "5.8S ribosomal RNA". Rfam says of the family: 5.8S ribosomal RNA (5.8S rRNA) is a component of the large subunit of the eukaryotic ribosome. It is transcribed by RNA polymerase I as part of the 45S precursor that also contains 18S and 28S rRNA. Functionally, it is thought that 5.8S rRNA may be involved in ribosome translocation. Lineage: Eukaryota; Viridiplantae; Streptophyta; Magnoliopsida; Brassicales; Brassicaceae. The record is from RNAcentral.
AGGACGACUCUCGGCAACGGAUAUCUCGGCUCUCGCAUCGAUGAAGAACGUAGCGAAAUGCGAUACUUGGUGUGAAUUGCAGAAUCCCGUGAACCAUCGAGUCUUUGAACGCAAGUUGCGCCCCAAGCCUUCUGGCCGAGGGCACGUCUGCCUGGGUGUCACAA